GUGAUGGCGAUUUAUUGGGCCUAAAGCGUCCGUAGCUGGCCCUGCAAGUCCGUCGGGAAAUCCACUCGCCUAACGAGUGGGCGUCCGGCGGAAACUACAGGGCUUGGGACCGGAAGACUUGAGGGGUACGUCUGGGGUAAGAGUGAAAUCCUGUAAUCCUGGACGGACCGCCGAUAGCGAAAGCACCUCAAGACGACGGAUCCGACAGUGAGGGACGAAAGCUAGGGUCUCGAAC
This 235-nucleotide ribosomal RNA is filed under the name uncultured archaeon. Its description in RNAcentral is "partial 16S ribosomal RNA". It matches the Rfam family "Archaeal small subunit ribosomal RNA", at positions 488 to 724 of the family's 1478-position model. The record is from RNAcentral.